RNAcentral lists this non-coding RNA (31 nucleotides) under Mus musculus (house mouse). Lineage: Eukaryota; Metazoa; Chordata; Mammalia; Rodentia; Muridae. The record is from RNAcentral.
UAGGAUUUCUUAUCUUUUCUCUGGGGACAGC